AGAUACCCUACUAUGCCCAACCGUAAAUACUGAUCCACCUCCGCCAGAGAAUAACGAGCUAAAGCUUAAAACUCAAAGGACUUGGCGGCGCUCUACACACCCUAGAGGGGCCUGUCACAUAAUCGAUAACCCACGAUAAACCUUACCACUUUUAACCACAUCAGCCUAUAUACCGCCGUCGUCAGCCCAUCUUGACAGAGAAACUAAUAAGCCCAAUAGUUUUAUCACACUAGAACGACAGGUCAAGGUGUAGCCUAUGAAGUGGCAAAUGAUGGACCACAUUGCUUACUAAAGCCAGACGAAACAGCCUGAAAGGGGUUUUAAGGUGAAUUUAACAGUAAAACGAACAAGAAAGUUCGUCUAAAGAUUGCUCUAGAGCGUGCACACACCGCCCGUCAC
RNAcentral lists this ribosomal RNA (399 nucleotides) under Rhampholeon spinosus. RNAcentral describes it as "12S ribosomal RNA". It matches the Rfam family "Bacterial small subunit ribosomal RNA", at positions 780 to 1400 of the family's 1533-position model. The record is from RNAcentral. Lineage: Eukaryota; Metazoa; Chordata; Lepidosauria; Squamata; Chamaeleonidae.